GGAAUGAGUGGCGGAACGGGUGAGUACCACGUGGGGAAUCUGCUUAGGGAGUGGGGGAUAACAUUCGGAAACGGAUGCUUAUCCCGCAUAUCUUCUUAGACCGCCUGUUCUAUGAAUGAAAAGACGGCUUUGCUGUCGCUCUUAGAUGAUCCCGCGGCGUAUUAGUUAGUUGGUGGGGUAAAGGCCUACCAAGACAAUGAUACGUAGCCGACCUGAGAGGGUGAUCGGCCACACUGGGACUGAGACACGGCCCAGACUCCUACGGGAGGCAGCAGUAGGGAAUCUUCCACAAUGGGUGCAAACCUGAUGGAGCAAUGCCGCGUGAAUGAAGAAGGUCUUCGGAUCGUAAAGUUCUGUUAUUAGUGAAGAACAAAUCGAGGAGUAACUGUCUCGAUUUUGACGGUAACUAACCAGAAAGUCACGGCUAACUACGUGCCAGCAGCCGCGGUAAUACGUAGGUGACAAGCGUUGUCCGGAAUUAUUGGGCGUAAAGGGAGCGCAGGCGGUUGGAAUAGUCUGAUGUGAAAGCCCACGGCUUAACCGUGGAAGGUCAUUGGAAACUGUCCAACUUGAAUGCAGAAGAGGUAAGUGGAAUUCCAUGUGUAGCGGUGAAAUGCGUAGAUAUAUGGAGGAACACCAGUGGCGAAGGCGACUUACUGGUCUGUAAUUGACGCUGUGGCUCGAAAGCGUGGGUAGCGAACAGGAUUAGAUACCCUGGUAGUCCACGCCGUAAACGAUGAGUGCUAAGUGUUGGAGGGUUUCCGCCCUUCAGUGCUGGAGU
This 781-nucleotide ribosomal RNA is filed under the name uncultured bacterium. Its description in RNAcentral is "bacterial SSU rRNA". It matches the Rfam family "Bacterial small subunit ribosomal RNA", at positions 88 to 852 of the family's 1533-position model. The record is from RNAcentral.